This is a long non-coding RNA of Bubalus bubalis (water buffalo), 749 nucleotides long. RefSeq lists it as uncharacterized. The transcript has 3 exons. NCBI's taxonomy places the organism in Eukaryota, Metazoa, Chordata, Mammalia, Artiodactyla, Bovidae. The record is from RefSeq and is a predicted model, not a curated record.
UGUAUGAAAGAAAGAGAAAGUCGUUCAGUCGUGUCCGACUCUUUGCGACCCCAAGGACACUAUACAGUCCAUGGAAUUCUCCAAGCCAGAGUAAAGGAGUGUGUAGCCGUUCCCAACCCAGUAGGUCUCCCUCACUGUGGGCAGAUUCUUUACCAGCUGAGCCACCAGGGAAGUUUGACUAAAUCAAAGUUAAAUUGAACACUGACAACCUGGAAAUCAUGUGUAAGAAGGCAUCAGAGUCAUCGUAAUGUCGACGAUCCCUCCACCAACGCUGCCCAGUGGUGACGUGGCUGGAGACUGGAGAAGAUAUGGCUUGGUCCAUACUGGGAUGGAGAUUGCCAGGGUUCUUAUUCCAGAUAAACAAAGGAGUGAGAAAAACAAUGAAGCCAUUUUCACCUAAAAGAGCAAAAAGCACAGAAGUGUCAGAGAUAAACAAUUCUCAAUGAAGACAAGAUCUAAAACUUCUCUGGAGUGAAUUACAGAAGUGAAGAAGGACAUUGGAAAUGGGAUAUUAAGGAAUUUUAAAAGCUCGGGGAGCAGGUGGAUGAUUCUGUCAUGGGACUCUGAAAUUCCCUAAGAGAGUGGCAGGAAUUAGAGCAGAAGGGAAGACUAUAGUGACUAUUUUUUUGUUGUCGUUGUUAAAGUUGUCACUAGGUCGUGUCCAGCUCUUUUGCAACCCCAUGGACUGUAGCCCACUAGGCUCCUACGUCCAUGGGAUUUCCUGGGGAAGAAUACUGGACUGGGUUAUC